RNAcentral lists this small RNA (29 nucleotides) under Bombyx mori (domestic silkworm). Its description in RNAcentral is "piRNA piR-bmo-2055795". Lineage: Eukaryota; Metazoa; Arthropoda; Insecta; Lepidoptera; Bombycidae. The record is from RNAcentral.
UACAAUUCCAAACGUGUCUGACGGUAUUC